This 383-nucleotide unclassified non-coding RNA is filed under the name Hevea brasiliensis (rubber tree). The record is from RNAcentral. Lineage: Eukaryota; Viridiplantae; Streptophyta; Magnoliopsida; Malpighiales; Euphorbiaceae.
GUCUGUGGUCAAGUUCUUUAUAACAGGGUCAUUUGUAACUCUUCCGCUGUGAUUUGUAUUAUUCAUAUAUAAAAUAUCUCAAUAUUUGACAUUCUCUUUAACAUUACAAUGCCUGGGAAACUCUGCCUACUUCUCUAGAGAUGAGAAAUGAAAGGUCAAAAGAUUAUAGUUUUAUUUGAUUAAAGCAGAAAGUUGCAUGCAUCAUUAGAUUAAUGUACGUAAACAAGGUUUAGCAGUAUAAUUUUCAAUUACCCCCCAGAAAGAAUGGUUUCAUAUAUUACUGGGACCAUUACUAAAACAUAGUAAUUUCUGAAACCGUAGUGAGCUCUGGUAAGAUUAUAGUCUUCAACUUUAAUUUUUUAAGAUAGAAUGUUGUAAGUUUU